Molecule: ribosomal RNA, 301 nt
Filed under: uncultured bacterium
Lineage: Bacteria
Description: partial 16S ribosomal RNA
Rfam family: Bacterial small subunit ribosomal RNA
Source: RNAcentral
CAGUAGCCGCGGGAACACGUAGGUGGCAAGCGUUGUCCGGAAUUAUUGGGCGUAAAGGGCUCGCAGGCGGUUUCUUAAGUCUGAUGUGAAAGCCCCCGGCUCAACCGGGGAGGGCCAUUGGAAACUGGGAAACUUGAGUGCUGAAGAGGAGAGUGGAAUUCCACGUGUAGCGGUGAAAUGCGUAGAGAUGUGGGGGAACACCAGUGGCGAAGGCGACUCUCUGGUCUGUAAUUGACGCUGAGGAGCGAAAGCGUGGGGAGCGAACAGGAUUAGAUACCCCCGUAGUCCCUGUCUCUUAUAC